CAGCCGCCGCGGGAAUACAGAGGGUGCGAGCGUUAAUCGGAUUUACUGGGCGUAAAGCGUGCGUAGGCGGCUUUUUAAGUCGGAUGUGAAAUCCCUGAGCUUAACUUAGGAAUUGCAUUCGAUACUGGGAAGCUAGAGUAUGGGAGAGGAUGGUAGAAUUCCAGGUGUAGCGGUGAAAUGCGUAGAGAUCUGGAGGAAUACCGAUGGCUAAGGCAGCCAUCUGGCCUAAUACUGACGCUGAGGUACGAAAGCAUGGGGAGCAAACAGGAUUAGAUACCCCUGUAGUCCCUGUCUCUUAUAC
This 301-nucleotide ribosomal RNA is filed under the name uncultured bacterium. RNAcentral describes it as "partial 16S ribosomal RNA". It matches the Rfam family "Bacterial small subunit ribosomal RNA", at positions 509 to 807 of the family's 1533-position model. The record is from RNAcentral.